This is an RNA transcript of Dendroctonus ponderosae (mountain pine beetle), 2421 nucleotides long. It is a transcript of the gene named RNA-binding protein squid, with no coding region annotated. The record is from RefSeq and is a predicted model, not a curated record. The transcript is spliced from 9 exons. Lineage: Eukaryota; Metazoa; Arthropoda; Insecta; Coleoptera; Curculionidae.
GCAGGCCUGGUCACGCCUCCAAACCGGCAGUGACGCAGCGCGUAGAAUCGAUAGCGUGAAUGCCGGUUUUAGAAAUUCGCGUUCUUUGUGUUGUGAUCUCAUUCAUUUCAGUCGUGACUAGUAAACUUAAUUAUAACUUGUUAGCAUAUCGUGUUAGACAGACAUUAUAAUGGCAAACCAAGAUACAACUAUGGAAAACGGCGAAGAUUUCUCCCAGGAUGUUACUGGAGAUCAAAGUUUAGAUCAACAUAAUGGUGGCGGUGACGCUCCAGUGACCGACAGUGGAUCAGCAGAUAAGCCCGGCAAAGAUGACGAUAGAAAAUUAUUUGUUGGUGGCUUAAGUUGGGAAACAACAGACAAGGAGCUGCGAGAGUAUUUCGGAAAGUAUGGCGAAAUCGAAAGCAUAAACGUUAAAACAGAUUCGAUGACGGGACGAUCUAGAGGAUUUGCCUUCAUCGUAUUCCAAGAUGCUGCCUCAAUCGAUAGAGUAUCAGCUGCAGGAGAGCAUACUAUUAACGGCAAGAAAGUCGACCCCAAAAAAGCGAAAGCUAGACACGGUAAAAUCUUCGUUGGAGGUAUUUCUCCUGAAUUGAGCGACGAUGACAUCAAUGAAUACUUUGGACAGUACGGAACCAUCAUGGAGGUAGAAAUGCCAUUCGAUAAACAAAAGAAUCAGAGGAAAGGUUUCUGUUUCAUCACCUUCGAAUCAGAACAAGUUGUCGCUGAUUUAUUAAAAAGGCCGAAGCAAGUCAUCAAAGAUAAAGAGGUGGAUGUAAAGAAAGCCACUCCAAAACCCGAUCAAAUGAUGGGCCGCGGUAUGAGAGGAGGUAGAGGAGGACCAAGAGGAAGAGGAGGUCGUGGCUUUGGCCAAAACUGGGGUCAAGGUGGUUAUGGAUAUGGCAGUUACAACCAAGGCUAUGGGUAUGAUGGUGGUUACGGUACUGGUGGUUUCAACGACUAUUAUGGCGGUGGAUAUGGUAAUUACGGCAACUACGAUUAUUCAGGAUAUAGCGGAAACUACGGCAUGCAGACCGGCUCAUCUAGCUAGUUAUUAUUGGCAGCAUCCAUUUUUUUUGCAUGGUAGUUUUGCUACCGUUCCAAGAUAUUGGAAUGUACAUAUUUUCAAAGUCAAAAACGUGAAUUCUGCUUUUCAGCACGUGUAGAUCCUAAAAGGCCAAAAAACUUUAGCAAAGAACAAUAUUUUGAAUAAAUAAAGUUUCAAACUCGUACAAGCUCAAACACUCAAACAGAACAACUUUACUGUAAGUAAAAACAUUAUUUUUAAGAGUGACGCAAAUAGACGUGACUUUAUAGUUAGAGAGCUUCUUUACAUUAGAAACAUUUUGGAAGUUAUAUUAUGCUCUAAGCUGUAUUGUUCCAGUUCAGGUUAAGCAAUAGCAUUUUUUUUCGUGCCGCAAAGUUAUAAAUUUUAUUAUUUUCGUAAAUGCCAACGAUGGAGCCUAAGAACACACCAUUGUUUUUGUUAUCCGAGUUGCGCUGGGGUCUUAAGAAGAACACCAUUGGUUUUCGUAAAGUUAAUGUACUUGCUUAGUUAAUACCCCGUUCGCCUAAAUCGUUUGUGCAAAGUUGAAGCCAAACGCAACAAAUGUAUGUGAAUGUAUUAGCGUAGUUGCAGCAAUCGUCUUGAAGAACACAACUAAAAAAAAUAGGUUGUCUCUAACCAAACAGGACAGUACAUUCAGUGGUGUGUGGCUCCGGUGGAACUUAAACGUUAUUACAAAGUGAUGAUUAAGGCAUAGUGGUUCGAGUGGUGGAGGCUUCCAGGGUAAAACCAGGGGGGCGAGCACUAGCAGAGUGAGUAACCAGAGGCAUCAGCCUUACUGAGACAACGUUGGAUACUAGUAUUAAGUGUUUCCUAAAUAUCCACGUAAAAUAGUCAUUGUUUCCUUGAAGUCAUUCCACAUCUAGGAAAAUACUUGUACAAAUCAGACCCGACAACUUUUUACGAGUAGUUUAGAGACUGUUCAUAAAAAUUAUUUUAAUUUUGUAACACUAUGAAUAGACCUUCAAGAAAGCUAGACAUGCAAUUACACAGCCAUGUCUUUGAAAAUAUUUUGUUAUUUUUAUUAACUUUUUUGGUUUAUUUAAAACGCGUAAAUCGAAAAGUGAAGUGAUUUUCAUCUCUAUCAAUAGUGAGACAGUGGACUCUAUAAUUUUGUACAAUAUUGCAUAUUAGUAAUAUAAAAUUAGUCAAUAAACACUGAUAUGGAUGUGUAACAUUAAAAUUAAUCCAGAAUGGUGCAAUCUGCUGUUGCACUGGCAAACAUGUUUUGUUUUUGAUAUUGUUUGAUUAUUUUAUGAACUUAAUGGUAGCCAUACUCUUUUAAAUUUAAGAUAAAUGUAAGUGAGCGUACUUCCGUUGUGUGGCAAGGAUUUAUUUAAUAAAGAUAGGUGAAUGAA